Molecule: ribosomal RNA, 443 nt
Filed under: uncultured bacterium
Lineage: Bacteria
Description: partial 16S ribosomal RNA
Rfam family: Bacterial small subunit ribosomal RNA
Source: RNAcentral
CCUACGGGGUGCAGCAGUGGGGAAUAUUGGGCAAUGGGCGCAAGCCUGACCCAGCAACGCCGCGUGAAGGAAGAAGGCUUUCGGGUUGUAAACUUCUUUUCUCAGGGACGAAGCAAGUGACGGUACCUUAGGAAUAAGCCACGGCUAACUACGUGCAAGCAGCCGCGGUAAUACGUAGGUGGCAAGCGUUAUCCGGAUUUACUGGGUGUAAAGGGCGUGUAGGCGGGAGUGUAAGUCAGAUGUGAAAACCAUGGGCUCAACCUAUGGACUGCAAUUUAAACUGUAGUUCUUGAGUACUGGAGGGGCAGACGGAAUUCCUAGUGUAGCGGUGAAAUGCGUAGAUAUUAGGAGGAACACCAGUGGCGAAGGCGGGCUGCUGGACAGUAACUGACGCUGAGGCGCGAAAGCGUGGGGAGCAAACAGGAUUAGAUACCCUAGUAGUC